GCGGCAAAAGUUGUUCGUGGUACCUGACAGCCCUGCGAGCUGUCAGGUGAAACGGGAAGCAGGUGUAAAUCCUGCGCUGCCCCCGCAACGGUAUGGGAGUGAGGAGUCGUCAGGAAGCCACUGGACUAUGGUCUGGGAAGGCGACGAUUCAAGACUUCCGAGCCCGGAGACCGGCCACGGACAUCACCAUGGAA
This 194-nucleotide non-coding RNA is filed under the name Denitratisoma oestradiolicum. The record is from RNAcentral. Lineage: Bacteria; Pseudomonadati; Pseudomonadota; Betaproteobacteria; Nitrosomonadales; Sterolibacteriaceae.